Molecule: transfer RNA, 60 nt
Filed under: Camelus bactrianus (Bactrian camel)
Lineage: Eukaryota; Metazoa; Chordata; Mammalia; Artiodactyla; Camelidae
Also listed under: 2 other names
Rfam family: tRNA
About the family: Transfer RNA (tRNA) molecules are approximately 80 nucleotides in length. Their secondary structure includes four short double-helical elements and three loops (D, anti-codon, and T loops). Further hydrogen bonds mediate the characteristic L-shaped molecular structure. tRNAs have two regions of fundamental functional importance: the anti-codon, which is responsible for specific mRNA codon recognition, and the 3' end, to which the tRNAs corresponding amino acid is attached (by aminoacyl-tRNA synthetases). tRNAs cope with the degeneracy of the genetic code in two manners: having more than one tRNA (with a specific anti-codon) for a particular amino acid; and 'wobble' base-pairing, i.e. permitting non-standard base-pairing at the 3rd anti-codon position.
Source: Rfam by way of RNAcentral
GAGGGUAUAGCUCAGUGGUAGAGUGAGUGCCUAGCAUGGGUUCGAUCCCCAGUACCUCCA